Molecule: RNA transcript, 919 nt
Organism: Mandrillus leucophaeus (drill)
Lineage: Eukaryota; Metazoa; Chordata; Mammalia; Primates; Cercopithecidae
Gene name: SUMO-activating enzyme subunit 2 pseudogene
Exons: 2
Source: RefSeq, a predicted model, not a curated record
CACCUCUGCUGCAAACCUCAGGAUGCAUAUUUUCAGUAUGAAUAUGAAGAGUAGAUUUGAUAUCAAAUCAAUGGCAGGGAAUAUUAUUCCUGCUAUUGCUACUACUAAUGCAGUGAUUGCUGGGUUGAUAGUAUUGGAAGGAUUGAAGAUCUUAUCAGGAAAAAUAGACCAGUGCAGAACAACAGUCUUGAAUAAACAACCAAACCCAAGAAAGAAGCUUCUUGUGCCUUGUGCACUGGAUCCUCCCAACCCCAAUUGUUACAUAUGUGCCAGCAAGCCAGAGGUGACUGUACAGCUGAAUGUCCAUAAAGUGACUGUUCUCACCUUACAAGACAAGCUAAUAAUCACAAGAAGUUGUCAGAAUUUGGAAUGAGAAAUUGCAGCUGGCUUCAAGCAGAUUACUUCCUCCAGGACUAUACUUUAUUGAUCAACAUUCUUCACAGUGAAGACCUAAGAAAGGAUGUUGAAUUUGAAGUUGUUGGUGAUGCCCCAGAAAAAGUGGGGCCAAAACAAGCUGAAGAUGUUGCCAAAAGCAUAACCAAUGGCAGUAAUGAUGGAACUCAGCCUUCCACCUCCACAGCUCAAGAGCAAGAUGAUGUUCUCAUAGUUGAUUCGGAUGAAGAAGAUUCUUCAAAGAAUGCUGACGUCAGUGAAGAAGAGAGAAUGCACAAGAGGAAAUUAGACCAGAAAGAAUCUCGGUACAAAGAGGUUACGUACAGGACAGAAGGAAGAGCUUGAUGAUGUCAUAGCAUUAGAUUGAACAGAAAUGCCUCUAAACAGAGCCCUCUUAAUACUUAUUUAUCUGGGCAGAACCAGAUUAUCUGUUACGUCCUUUGUUCCAAAGGGAAAAAACUGACACCAGUGACUUGAAAAUGAUUCUGCUCCCUUUGAAAGCAUUCAUUUCGCUAGAACUGUUAGA